AUUGAACGCUGGCGGCAGGCCUAACACAUGCAAGUCGAACGAGCGGCGGACGGGUGAGUAAUGUAUGGGGACUGCCCGAUCUAGGGGGAUAACUGCUGGAAACGGUGGCUAAUACCGCAUACUAUCGUAUAACCCUUAUGGGAUUAGCUAGUCGGGGGGGUAAAGGCUCACCUAGGCGACGAUGUCUAGCUGGUCUGAGAGGAUGAGCGUCCACACUGGGACUGAGAAACGGCCCAGACUCCUACGGAGGCAGCAGUGGGGAAUAUUGGACAAUGGGCGCAAGCCUGACGCAGCCACGCCGCGUGUAUGAAGAAGGUCUUCGGGUUGUAAAGCACUUUUGGUGGGGAGGCGUUAUCAGACGAAGAAGCACCGGCUAACUACGUGCCAGCAGCCGCGGUAAUAC
This 403-nucleotide ribosomal RNA is filed under the name uncultured bacterium. RNAcentral describes it as "partial 16S ribosomal RNA". It matches the Rfam family "Bacterial small subunit ribosomal RNA", at positions 30 to 526 of the family's 1533-position model. The record is from RNAcentral.